This 358-nucleotide ribosomal RNA is filed under the name uncultured soil bacterium. RNAcentral's name for it is "bacterial SSU rRNA". It matches the Rfam family "Bacterial small subunit ribosomal RNA", at positions 26 to 406 of the family's 1533-position model. The record is from RNAcentral.
AGAACGAACGCUGGCGGCAGGCUUAACACAUGCAAGUCGAACGCCCCGCAAGGGGAGUGGCAGACGGGUGAGUAACACGUGGGAACAUGCCCAAAGGUACGGAAUAUUCUCGGGAAACUGGGAGCAAUACCGUAUGUGCCCGAAAGGGGAAAGAUUUAUCGCCUUUGAAUUGGCCCGCGUCGGAUUAGCUAGUUGGUGGGGUAAAAGCCUACCAAGGCGACGAUCCGUAGCUGGUCUGGAGAGGACGACCAGCCACACGUGGGACUGAGACACGGCCCAGACUCCUACGGGAGGCAGCAGUGGGGAAUCGUUAGGACAAUGGGCGCAAGCCUGACUCCGAGCCCAUCGCCGCGGUGGA